Molecule: ribosomal RNA, 484 nt
Filed under: uncultured bacterium
Lineage: Bacteria
Description: partial 16S ribosomal RNA
Rfam family: Bacterial small subunit ribosomal RNA
Source: RNAcentral
AUUGAACGCUAGCGGGAUGCUUUACACAUGCAAGUCGAACGGCAGCGCGGACUUCGGUCUGGCGGCGAGUGGCGAACGGGUGAGUAAUGUAUCGGAACGUGCCCAGUAGCGGGGGAUAACUACGCGAAAGCGUAGCUAAUACCGCAUACACCCUACGGGGGAAAGCAGGGGAUCGUAAGACCUUGCACUAUUGGAGCGGCCGAUAUCGGAUUAGCUAGUUGGUGAGGUAACGGCUCACCAAGGCGACGAUCCGUAGCUAGUUUGAGAGGACGACCAGCCACACUGGGACUGAGACACGGCCCAGACUCCUACGGGAGGCAGCAGUGGGGAAUUUUGGACAAUGGGGGCAACCCUGAUCCAGCCAUCCCGCGUGUGCGAUGAAGGCCUUCGGGUUGUAAAGCACUUUUGGCAGGAAAGAAACGUCGCGGGCUAAUACCCCGUGGAACUGACGGUACCUGCAGAAUAAGCACCGGCUAACUACGUG